CAGUGGCGAACGGGUGAGUAACACGUGGGCAAUCUGCCCUGCACUCUGGGACAAGCCCUGGAAACGGGGUCUAAUACCGGAUAUUACCUUCCUCUGCAUGGGGGUUGGUGGAAAGCUCCGGCGGUGCAGGAUGAGCCCGCGGCCUAUCAGCUUGUUGGUGGGGUAAUGGCCUACCAAGGCGACGACGGGUAGCCGGCCUGAGAGGGCGACCGGCCACACUGGGACUGAGACACGGCCCAGACUCCUACGGGAGGCAGCAGUGGGGAAUAUUGCACAAUGGGCGAAAGCCUGAUGCAGCGACGCCGCGUGAGGGAUGACGGCCUUCGGGUUGUAAACCUCUUUCAGCAGGGAAGAAGCGAAAGUGACGGUACCUGCAGAAGAAGCACCGGCUAACUACGUGCCAGCAGCCGCGGUAAUACGUAGGGUGCGAGCGUUGUCCGGAAUUAUUGGGCGUAAAGAGCUCGUAGGCGGCUUGUCACGUCGGUUGUGAAAGCCCGGGGCUUAACCCCGGGUCUGCAGUCGAUACGGGCAGGCUAGAGUUCGGUA
RNAcentral lists this ribosomal RNA (546 nucleotides) under Streptomyces sp. 303D08. Its description in RNAcentral is "bacterial SSU rRNA". It matches the Rfam family "Bacterial small subunit ribosomal RNA", at positions 93 to 653 of the family's 1533-position model. The record is from RNAcentral. Lineage: Bacteria; Bacillati; Actinomycetota; Actinomycetes; Kitasatosporales; Streptomycetaceae.